RNAcentral lists this ribosomal RNA (376 nucleotides) under uncultured archaeon. Its description in RNAcentral is "bacterial SSU rRNA". It matches the Rfam family "Archaeal small subunit ribosomal RNA", at positions 347 to 727 of the family's 1478-position model. The record is from RNAcentral.
ACUUUACAAUGCGGGAAACCGUGAUAAGGGAACUCCGAGUGUCCGUAAAUGCGGACUGUCCGUAUGUUUAAAAAGCAUGCGAAGAAAGGGCCGGGCAAGACCGGUGCCAGCCGCCGCGGUAAUACCGGCGGCUCGAGUGGUGGCCACUAUUACUGGGCUUAAAGCGUUCGUAGCUGGGUUGUUAAGUCUCUUGGGAAAUCUACCGGCUUAACCGAUAGGCGUCCAAGGGAUACUGGCAUUCUAGGGACCGGGAGAGGUGAGGGGUACUUCAGGGGUAGGAGUGAAAUCUUGUAAUCCCUGGGGGACCACCUGUGGCGAAGGCGCCUCACCAGAACGGCUCCGACAGUGAGGGACGAAAGCUGGGGGAGCAAACCGG